Molecule: ribosomal RNA, 218 nt
Filed under: uncultured bacterium
Lineage: Bacteria
Description: partial 16S ribosomal RNA
Rfam family: Bacterial small subunit ribosomal RNA
Source: RNAcentral
CGUGAGUAACCUGCCUCUAAGAGGGGAAUAACAUUCUGAAAGAAAUGCUAAUACCGCAUAACAUAUAUUUAUCGCAUGGUAGAUAUAUCAAAGAUUUAUCGCUUAGAGAUGGACUCGCGUCCGAUUAGUUAGUUGGUGAGGUAACGGCUCACCAAGACUGCGAUCGGUAGCCGGACUGAGAGGUUGAACGGCCACAUUGGGACUGAGACACGGCCCAG